AUUGAACGCUGGCGGCAGGCCUAACACAUGCAAGUCGAGCGGCGCGUCGGACGGGUGAGUAAUGCCUAGGAAUCUGCCUGUUAGUGGGGGAUAACGUCCGGAAACGGGCGCUAAUACCGCAUACUAUCAGAUGAGCCUCGGUCGGCUUAGCUAGUUGGUGGGGUAAAGGCUUACCAAGGCGACGAUCCGAAACUGGACUGAGAGGAUGAUCAGUCACACUGGAACUGAGACACGGCCCAGACUCCUACGGGAGGCAGCAGUGGGGAAUAUUGGGCAAUGGGCGAAAGCCUGAUCCAGCAAUGCCGCGUGUGUGAAGAAGGUCUUCGGAUUGUAAAGCUCUUUUAGUAGAGAGGCGUUACCAAAAGAAAAAGCACCGGCUAACUACGUGCCAGCAGCCGCGGUAAUUC
RNAcentral lists this ribosomal RNA (407 nucleotides) under uncultured bacterium. Its description in RNAcentral is "partial 16S ribosomal RNA". It matches the Rfam family "Bacterial small subunit ribosomal RNA", at positions 30 to 526 of the family's 1533-position model. The record is from RNAcentral.